Molecule: ribosomal RNA, 279 nt
Filed under: uncultured archaeon
Lineage: Archaea
Description: partial 16S rRNA
Rfam family: Archaeal small subunit ribosomal RNA
Source: RNAcentral
GAGACCCACGCCAACAGUUGCCAGCAUGUCCUCCGGGAUGGUGGGGACACUGUUGGGACCGCCUCUGCUAAAGAGGAGGAAGGAAUGGGCAACGGUAGGUCAGCAUGCCCCGAAUUAUCCGGGCUACACGCGGGCUACAAUGGUCAGGACAAUGGGUAUCGACACCGAGAGGUGAAAGCAAUCUCUUAAACCUGUCCUUAGUUCGGAUUGUGGGCUGCAACUCGCCCACAUGAAGCUGGAAUCCGUAGUAAUCGCGUCUCAAAAUGGCGCGGUGAAUAU